AAUAUUGGACAAUGGGGGCAACCCUGAUCCAGCCAUGCCGCGUGUGUGAAGAAGGUCUGCGGUUUGUAAAGCACUUUAAGUUGGGAGGAAGGGCUUUAGGCUAAUACCCUGAAGUUUUGACGUUACUAACAGAAUAAUCACCGGCUAAUUCUUCGCCAGCAGCCGCGGUAAUACAGAGGCUGCAAGCGUUAAUCGGAAUUACUGGGCGUAAUGCGCGCGUAGGUGGUUCAGUAAGAUGGGUGUGAAAUCCCCGGGCUUAACCUGGGAACUGCUUUCAUAACUGCUGAGCUAGAGUACGGUAGAGGGUAGUGGAAUUUCCUGUGUAGCGGUGAAAUGCGUAGAUAUAGGAAGGAACACCAGUGGCGAAGGCGACUACCUGGACUGAUACUGACACUGAGGUGCGAAAGCGUGGGGAGCAAACA
Molecule: ribosomal RNA, 422 nt
Filed under: uncultured bacterium
Lineage: Bacteria
Description: partial 16S ribosomal RNA
Rfam family: Bacterial small subunit ribosomal RNA
Source: RNAcentral